Molecule: unclassified non-coding RNA, 253 nt
Filed under: plant metagenome
Description: partial contains small subunit ribosomal RNA, internal transcribed spacer 1, and 5.8S ribosomal RNA
Rfam family: Eukaryotic small subunit ribosomal RNA (bases 1-55)
Source: RNAcentral
GGAAGUAAAAAUCCGUAACAAGGUCUCCGUAGGUGAACCUGCGGAGGGAUCAUUACAGAGUUCUCGCCCUCACGGGUAGAUCUCCCACCCAAUGUUAUCGUUACCACUGUUUCUUUGGCGGGCCGCCGGGCCCUGCUCGGCCGCCGGCUCCGGCUGGCGCGCGCCCGCCAGAGGCCCUUUAAACCCUGAAUGUCAGUGUCGUCUGAGUACUAUACAAUAGUUAAAACUUUCAACAACGGAUCUCUUGGUUCUG